GGGGGCGUAGCUCAGUUGGUUAGAGCGCUGGCCUGUCACGCCAGAGGCCGCGGGUUCAAGUCCCGUCGCUCCCGCCA
Molecule: transfer RNA, 77 nt
Filed under: Solirubrobacterales bacterium
Lineage: Bacteria; Bacillati; Actinomycetota; Thermoleophilia; Solirubrobacterales
Description: tRNA-Asp
Rfam family: tRNA
About the family: Transfer RNA (tRNA) molecules are approximately 80 nucleotides in length. Their secondary structure includes four short double-helical elements and three loops (D, anti-codon, and T loops).
Source: RNAcentral